Molecule: ribosomal RNA, 466 nt
Filed under: uncultured bacterium
Lineage: Bacteria
Description: bacterial SSU rRNA
Rfam family: Bacterial small subunit ribosomal RNA
Source: RNAcentral
UGCCAGACUCCUACGGGAGGCAGCAGUGAGGAAUAUUGGUCAAUGGUCGGGAGACUGAACCAGCCAAGCCGCGUGAGGGAUGAAGGUACAGAGUAUCGUAAACCUCUUUUGUCAGGGAGCAAUUGGCGCUACGUGUAGCGUUAUCGAGAGUACCUGAAGAAAAAGCAUCGGCUAACUCCGUGCCAGCAGCCGCGGUAAUACGGAGGAUGCGAGCGUUAUCCGGAUUUAUUGGGUUUAAAGGGUGCGUAGGCGAAAUGCCAAGGCAGGGGUAAAAUCGCGGGGCUCAACCUCGCUCCGCCGUUGAAACUGGCGUUCUUGAGUGGGCGAGAAGUAUGCGGAAUGCGUGGUGUAGCGGUGAAAUGCAUAGAUAUCACGCAGAACUCCGAUUGCGAAGGCAGCAUACCGGCGCCCAACUGACGCUGAAGCACGAAAGCGUGGGUAUCGAACAGGAUUAGAUACCCCGGUA